CGUAGGGUGCGAGCGUUGUCCGGAAUUAUUGGGCGUAAAGGGCUCGUAGGCGGUUUGUCGCGUCGGGAGUGAAACACGGGGCUUAACUCCGUGCUUGCUUUCGAUACGGGCAGACUAGAGGUAUGCAGGGGAGAACGGAAUUCCUGGUGUAGCGGUGAAAUGCGCAGAUAUCAGGAGGAACACCGGUGGCGAAGGCGGUUCUCUGGGCAUGACCUGACGCUGAGGAGCGAAAGUGUGGGGAGCGAACAGGAUU
Molecule: ribosomal RNA, 253 nt
Filed under: uncultured bacterium
Lineage: Bacteria
Description: partial 16S ribosomal RNA
Rfam family: Bacterial small subunit ribosomal RNA
Source: RNAcentral